RNAcentral lists this ribosomal RNA (497 nucleotides) under uncultured bacterium. Its description in RNAcentral is "partial 16S ribosomal RNA". It matches the Rfam family "Bacterial small subunit ribosomal RNA", at positions 28 to 507 of the family's 1533-position model. The record is from RNAcentral.
GAUGAACGCUGGCGGCGUGCCUAAUACAUGCAAGUCGAGCGAACAGAUGAGGAGCUUGCUCCUCUGACGUUAGCGGCGGACGGGUGAGUAACACGUGGAUAACCUACCUAUAAGACUGGGAUAACUUCGGGAAACCGGAGCUAAUACCGGAUAAUAUAUUGAACCGCAUGGUUCAAUAGUGAAAGACGGUGUUGCUGUCACUUAUAGAUGGAUCCGCGCCGCAUUAGCUAGUUGGUAAGGUAACGGCUUACCAAGGCAACGAUGCGUAGCCGACCUGAGUGGGUGAUCGGCCACACUGGAACUGAGACACGGUCCAGACUCCUACGGGAGGCAGCAGUAGGGAAUCUUCCGCAAUGGGCGAAAGCCUGACGGAGCAACGCCGCGUGAGUGAUGAAGGUCUUCGGAUCGUAAAACUCUGUUAUUAGGGAAGAACAAAUGUGUAAGUAACUAUGCACGUCUUGAUGGUACCUAAUCAGAAAGCCACGGCUAACUACGUG